This 406-nucleotide ribosomal RNA is filed under the name uncultured bacterium. RNAcentral describes it as "partial 16S ribosomal RNA". It matches the Rfam family "Bacterial small subunit ribosomal RNA", at positions 30 to 526 of the family's 1533-position model. The record is from RNAcentral.
AUUGAACGCUGGCGGCAGGCCUAACACAUGCAAGUCGAACGCGUGGCGGACGGGUGAGUAAUGUCUGGGAAACUGCCUGAUGGAGGGGGAUAACUACUGGAAACGGUAGCUAAUACGGCAUACUAUCAGAUGAGCCUAUGUCGGAUUAGCUAGUUGGUGGGGUAAAGGCGUACCAAGGCGACGAGCCGUAACGGGUCUGAGAGGAUGAUCAGUAACACUGGAACUGAGACACGGUCCAGACUCCUACGGGAGGCAGCAGUGGGGAAUAUUGGACAAUGGGCGAAAGCCUGAUCCAGCAAGGCCGCGUGUGUGAAGAAGGUCUUCGGAUUGUAAAGCACUGUAAGUUGGGAGGCGUUACCAACAGAGUAAGCACCGGCUAACUUCGUGCCAGCAGCCGCGGUAAUUC